RNAcentral lists this long non-coding RNA (307 nucleotides) under Gallus gallus (chicken). The record is from RNAcentral. Lineage: Eukaryota; Metazoa; Chordata; Aves; Galliformes; Phasianidae.
CAGUCAUUCAUCCUUAAAAUAUGCUGUCAAAGCCAUUCUUCUACUGUUGGAACUCUGUUCUCAUGUUUCCUUUUGUUCUGUGGGAGUUGCUAAGAUUUCCCAUUGAAAUUUAUUUUAAAUGUUUGUUCUUUUGUGCAGAUUCACUGCACAGUCUUGUCUCCCACAGUGUAGAUGGGUUACAAUGGAGACGAUGGUAACCUGGCAGUGAUACAGGAGCACAUUACUUGCAGCUGCAGUGAGAUUUCACCCAGCAUUCUGUUGCAGAGCACUUCACACUUCCAAAUUAAUCAUGGUUUUCUCUCUGUUC